GGGUUGUGAGGUUAAGCGACUAAGCGUACACGGUGGAUGCCCUGGCAGUCAGAGGCGAUGAAGGACGUGCUAAUCUGCGAAAAGCGUCGGUAAGGUGAUAUGAACCGUUAUAGCCGGCGAUGUCCGAAUGGGGAAACCCAGUGUGAUUCGUCACACUAUCGUUAACUGAAUACAUAGGUUAACGAGGCGAACCGGGGGAACUGAAACAUCUAAGUACCCCGAGGAAAAGAAAUCAACCGAGAUUCCCCCAGUAGCGGCGAGCGAACGGGGAGCAGCCCAGAGUCUGAAUCAGCUUGUGUGUUAGUGGAACGGUCUGGAAAGUCCGACGGUACAGGGUGAUAGUCCCGUACACCAAAAUGCACAGGUUGUGAACUCGAAGAGUAGGGCGGGACACGUGGUAUCCUGUCUGAAUAUGGGGGGACCAUCCUCCAAGGCUAAAUACUCCUGACUGACCGAUAGUGAACCAGUACCGUGAGGGAAAGGCGAAAAGAACCCCGGCGAGGGGAGUGAAAAAGAACCUGAAACCGUGUACGUACAAGCAGUGGGAGCACCUUCGGGUGUGACUGCGUACCUUUUGUAUAAUGGGUCAGCGACUUAUAUUCUGUAGCAAGGUUAACCGUAUAGGGGAGCCGCAGGGAAACCGAGUCUUAACUGGGCGUUAAGUUGCAGGGUAUAGACCCGAAACCCGGUGAUCUAGCCAUGGGCAGGUUGAAGGUUGGGUAACACUAACUGGAGGACCGAACCGACUAAUGUUGAAAAAUUAGCGGAUGACUUGUGGCUGGGGGUGAAAGGCCAAUCAAACCGGGAGAUAGCUGGUUCUCCCCGAAAGCUAUUUAGGUAGCGCCUCGUGAACUCAUCUUCGGGGGUAGAGCACUGUUUCGGCUAGGGGGUCAUCCCGACUUACCAACCCGAUGCAAACUACGAAUACCGAAGAAUGUUAUCACGGGAGACACACGGCGGGUGCUAACGUCCGUCGUGAAGAGGGAAACAACCCAGACCGCCAGCUAAGGUCCCAAAGUCAUGGUUAAGUGGGAAACGAUGUGGGAAGGCACAGACAGCCAGGAUGUUGGCUUAGAAGCAGCCAUCAUUUAAAGAAAGCGUAAUAGCUCACUGGUCGAGUCGGCCUGCGCGGAAGAUGUAACGGGGCUAAACCAUGCACCGAAGCUGCGGCAGCGACACUAUGUGUUGUUGGGUAGGGGAGCGUUCUGUAAGCCUGCGAAGGUGUGCUGUGAGGCAUGCUGGAGGUAUCAGAAGUGCGAAUGCUGACAUAAGUAACGAUAAAGCGGGUGAAAAGCCCGCUCGCCGGAAGACCAAGGGUUCCUGUCCAACGUUAAUCGGGGCAGGGUGAGUCGACCCCUAAGGCGAGGCCGAAAGGCGUAGUCGAUGGGAAACAGGUUAAUAUUCCUGUACUUGGUGUUACUGCGAAGGGGGGACGGAGAAGGCUAUGUUAGCCGGGCGACGGUUGUCCCGGUUUAAGCAUGUAGGCUGGUUGUCCAGGCAAAUCCGGAUAAUCAAGGCUGAGGUGUGAUGACGAGGCACUACGGUGCUGAAGUAACAAAUGCCCUGCUUCCAGGAAAAGCCUCUAAGCAUCAGGUAACAUUAAAUCGUACCCCAAACCGACACAGGUGGUCAGGUAGAGAAUACCAAGGCGCUUGAGAGAACUCGGGUGAAGGAACUAGGCAAAAUGGUGCCGUAACUUCGGGAGAAGGCACGCUGGUGUGUAGGUGAAGUCCCUGCGGAUGGAGCUGAGACCAGUCGAAGAUACCAGCUGGCUGCAACUGUUUAUUAAAAACACAGCACUGUGCAAACACGAAAGUGGACGUAUACGGUGUGACGCCUGCCCGGUGCCGGAAGGUUAAUUGAUGGGGUUAUCCGUAAGGAGAAGCUCUUGAUCGAAGCCCCGGUAAACGGCGGCCGUAACUAUAACGGUCCUAAGGUAGCGAAAUUCCUUGUCGGGUAAGUUCCGACCUGCACGAAUGGCGUAAUGAUGGCCAGGCUGUCUCCACCCGAGACUCAGUGAAAUUGAACUCGCUGUGAAGAUGCAGUGUACCCGCGGCAAGACGGAAAGACCCCGUGAACCUUUACUAUAGCUUGACACUGAACAUUGAGCCUUGAUGUGUAGGAUAGGUGGGAGGCUUUGAAGCGUGGACGCCAGUCUGCGUGGAGCCAACCUUGAAAUACCACCCUUUAAUGUUUGAUGUUCUAACGUUGGCCCCUUACCGGGGUUGCGGACAGUGUCUGGUGGGUAGUUUGACUGGGGCGGUCUCCUCCCAAAGCGUAACGGAGGAGCACGAAGGUUAGCUAAUCCUGGUCGGACAUCAGGAGGUUAGUGCAAUGGCAUAAGCUAGCUUGACUGCGAGCGUGACGGCGCGAGCAGGUGCGAAAGCAGGUCAUAGUGAUCCGGUGGUUCUGAAUGGAAGGGCCAUCGCUCAACGGAUAAAAGGUACUCCGGGGAUAACAGGCUGAUACCGCCCAAGAGUUCAUAUCGACGGCGGUGUUUGGCACCUCGAUGUCGGCUCAUCACAUCCUGGGGCUGAAGUAGGUCCCAAGGGUAUGGCUGUUCGCCAUUUAAAGUGGUACGCGAGCUGGGUUUAGAACGUCGUGAGACAGUUCGGUCCCUAUCUGCCGUGGGCGCUGGAGAAUUGAGGGGGGCUGCUCCUAGUACGAGAGGACCGGAGUGGACGCAUCACUGGUGUUCGGGUUGUCAUGCCAAUGGCACUGCCCGGUAGCUAAAUGCGGAAGAGAUAAGUGCUGAAAGCAUCUAAGCACGAAACUUGCCCCGAGAUGAGUUCUCCCUGAGACUUUAAGUCUCCUGAAGGAACGUUGAAGACGACGACGUUGAUAGGCCGGGUGUGUAAGCGCAGCGAUGCGUUGAGCUAACCGGUACUAAUGAACCGUGAGGCUUAACCUUACAACGCCGAAG
Molecule: ribosomal RNA, 2923 nt
Filed under: Klebsiella pneumoniae
Lineage: Bacteria; Pseudomonadati; Pseudomonadota; Gammaproteobacteria; Enterobacterales; Enterobacteriaceae
Description: bacterial LSU rRNA
Rfam family: Bacterial large subunit ribosomal RNA
Source: RNAcentral